Molecule: ribosomal RNA, 2922 nt
Filed under: Triticum aestivum (bread wheat)
Lineage: Eukaryota; Viridiplantae; Streptophyta; Magnoliopsida; Poales; Poaceae
Description: partial small subunit ribosomal RNA
Source: RNAcentral
AUGGCGGAUUCCGGAGAGCAGAACGGCAAUGGCCAUGCCCCUGCAGCUGCCGGCAACGCUCCCGUCGAGCCGCCGCCGCAGCAGCCAGCCGGCGCCGACGAGGCCGAGCUCGUGUGGAAGCUGAGGAAGUACCUGGUGCUGAUGGCCAUCCUCGUGGCGGCCAUCACGUUCCAGGCGGGGCUGGCCCCGCCGGGCGGCGUCUGGCAGGAGAGCAACAAGGGCCGCGUCGCCAGCGACAUCGUGAUGAGGUCCAGCUACCCCAGGCGGUACCACGUCUUCUUCUACUGCAACACGACGGCGUUCGGGGCCUCGCUCAUGGUGCUCAUACUGCUGCUGGUGAGGAAGGUGAGCCGGAAUCCGGUCUGGCUCCGCGCGCUUCAGUUCGCCAUGAUCCUGGGCUUGCUGGGUCUCAUGGGGGCCUACGCCGCUGGGAGCUGCAGGGAGGUGAGGACCUCUGUUUACAUCUGGGUGUUACUCCUUGGCAUCUUCGCCUACGUCACACUCCAUGUGGUGUUCUUCAAGCACCUGGCGCCUGAGCAGCUGCGAAAAUUUCUAUCCGGUGUCAAGAAACGUUGGAAGGGAACUCUGGGGCACAUUUUCACGUCAUCAAAACCAGAUGAGAAAAAGGCUUCAAAUGCAGAGAGGGUAGCCGAUGAGGGAGUGAAUUCAAUCAAGAUAGAAGAACCUGAAAGAAAUGGCAGCUCCGAGCAGGUUCUUGCAGCAGCAGCAGCAGCAGAAGAAGAAGAAGAGAAGAAGAAAAAGGAGAAAGAGGCUGCAGACAAGAAGAGAGAGGAAGAAGUGGAACAUCUUGAAAGAAAUCGCAGCUCCUUGCUGGUUCUUGCCACACUGGCAGCAACCGUGACUUAUGUCGCAGGGCUAAGUCCUCCAGGUGGCUUCUGGUCUGAUGAUAACAAUAACCACAUUCCUGGUGACCCGGUGCUGCGAGAUCACUACCCACGCCGAUUCAAGGCCUUCUUCUAUUGCAAUGCCACUGCUUUUGCUGGAUCACUCGUCAUCAUCAUCAUGCUCCUCAGUCAAACAGCGUUGGAUCAUGUUGUCAAGUCAAAUGCUCUGCGGAUGUGUGUGCUAGUUAGCCUCUUUGGGCUUAUGGGGGCAUAUGCUGCCGGAAGUUGCAGAGAGGUCCAUACAUCGAUCUAUGUCUUUGCACUUGUUGGCGCAGUCUUUCUCUACCUCAUCAUUAAGUUCAUCGGACCUGUUAUGCCCAAGCCGGGGUGUGUCGGAAAUACCAUCACAUGUCUGGAAGAUAAGUGGGAUAAACUGCUUAAGAAGCUGAAAGAUUUCUUCAUGACCCCGUCAGAAUCUGACAAACAGCCUCAAUCAAACAAUGGCGACAUUCCAAACCCUGAUGGUGAUGAUAAGGAUAAGGAUGGUCUACAGAAGUUGCGCACAUACCUUCUAUUGCUCGGCAUCCUUGCUGCCACAGUCACCUACCAAGCUGGGCUGAAUCCCCCAGGAGGCUUUUGGACAGAUAGUAGUGAUGGGCAUACUGCUGGUGAUCCAAUUUUGGAGGUCAUCAGUCCCAAGCGCUACAAGGCAUUCUUCUAUUGCAAUGCCACAUCAUUUGUAGCCUCUUUGGUCAUCAUCAUCCUGCUCCAGAGUCAGCAGAUUACCCUUCAUGCCAUGAAGCGUAAUGUACUGCAAACAGCAAUGGCAGUGGUUCUCUUUGGUCUCAUGGGAGCCUAUGUUGCUGGAAGCAGCAGGAAGUUCUCAACAUCCAUUUAUGUGUUCAUCCUAGUCCUCCUGGUUUUCGCCUAUGUGGCACUUCACACUAUAUAUGUACCUCGAAUUCUCAAGGCACCAGUGGAGAAGAUAAUAGAGGAUAUAGAGGCUUCCAUACCAGAAUCCUCCCAAAAUCUUGGUCCUUCUGAACUUGCUACUGAAGAAAAAGAUUUGCAGAAGAGGCGCAAGUUUCUGAUGUUGCUCGCUAUUCUAGCAGCUUCUAUCACAUACCAAACUGGCAUAAGCCCACCAGGUGGCUUUUGGACUGACAACAACGGCCACCGAGCAGGUAACUCAGUGUUUCGUGACGAGUUCCGAAACCGUUAUAGGGUGUUCUUCUACUUCAAUGCCACUGCUUUCAUGGCGUCCCUGGCCGUUAUUCUAUUGCUUGUUAGCAAGAGGCUAUGCGACAGAGGUCUGAAGUGCUAUGCGCUGCGUGCAUGUGUACUGGUUGAUCUGAUCAGCCUCAUGGGUGCUUUUGCCGCUGGAAGCUGCAGAAAAGUGUCAACAUCUGCCUAUGUCAUUCUUGUCAUUGUUGCUGUGUUUGUCUAUGUCAUGAUUCAAGUCAUGGUUCUAGUAUAUGCAAAAGACAAGGUGAAUAAACUGAUGGUGCGGAUGUUCAAAGGACAAAUGGCCAGCUAUAAAAUUUUAGAGCACCAAGAUACAUCUACGGAUCGCAAGAGAAGCACACGGGAGCAUAAAUGGCGCAAAGAUUUAAUGAUGAUUGGGACUCUUGCAAUCACUGUCACAUAUCAAGCUGGUCUGCUCCCGCCAGGAGGAGUUUGGCCUGAUGAUCGGGAUGGCCAUUUUGCAGGUGACCCAAUCCUCCAUGAUACCAACUUAACACGGUACAAGGUAUUCUUCUACUGCAAUGCCACAGCAUUCAUGGCCUCAAUGGUCAUGGUCAGCCUCCUACUGAACAACACAAUAAGCAAGUACAAGAGAUCUCUUCUUGUUAUGAAAACGGCAAUGGUAUUGGGAUUGCUUGGUUUACUUGGGGCAUAUGCCGCGGGCAGCUGCAGGAAGUUUAAGACAUCUGCGUACAUUUUUGCACUCGUCAUUGCCGUGAUCAUCUACAUCGUCAUUCAUGUCUUAUUGUCAUUUGACGAAGUGGCAAGGUUAGUGAAGGAGAAGUGGGAAAAGUGGGUGGGGUGUCUGAAAAAUUGCUUCGGUUGCAACUGA